Molecule: ribosomal RNA, 443 nt
Filed under: uncultured bacterium
Lineage: Bacteria
Description: partial 16S ribosomal RNA
Rfam family: Bacterial small subunit ribosomal RNA
Source: RNAcentral
CCUACGGGGGGCAGCAGUGGGGAAUAUUGGUCAAUGGCCGCAACUCUGACCCAGCCAUGCCGCGUGAAUGUAGAAGCCCUUCGGGCUGUAAAGUUCUUUAAUGGGGGACGAAGAAAGUGACGGUAUCCCAAGAAUAAGCUACGGUUAACUUCGUGCUAGCAGCCGCGGUAAUACGGAGGUGGCAGGCGUAGUCCGGAAUGACCGGGCGUAAGGGGUGCGUAGGCGGCGCGGUACGUUAGGUGUGAAAUCCCGGGGCUCAACCGCGGAACUGCUUUUAAUACUGCCGUGCUUGAGUGAUGGGGAGGAGAGCGGAAUGCGUGGUGUAGCGGUGGAAUGCGUAGAUAUUAGGAGGAACACCAGAGGCGAAGGCGGCUUACGGAACAGUAACUGACGCUGAGGCUCGAAAGCGUGGGGAGCAAACAGGAUUAGAUACCCGAGUAGUC